Molecule: ribosomal RNA, 495 nt
Filed under: uncultured bacterium
Lineage: Bacteria
Description: partial 16S ribosomal RNA
Rfam family: Bacterial small subunit ribosomal RNA
Source: RNAcentral
GACGAACGCUGGCGGCGUGCCUAAUACAUGCAAGUAGAACGCUGAAGGAGGAGCUUGCUUCUCUGGAUGAGUUGCGAACGGGUGAGUAACGCGUAGGUAACCUGCCUGGUAGCGGGGGAUAACUAUUGGAAACGAUAGCUAAUACCGCAUAAGAGUAGAUGUUGCAUGACAUUUGCUUAAAAGGUGCAAUUGCAUCACUACCAGAUGGACCUGCGUUGUAUUAGCUAGUUGGUGGGGUAACGGCUCACCAAGGCGACGAUACAUAGCCGACCUGAGAGGGUGAUCGGGCACAAUGGGAAUGGGAAAAGGGCCAGAAUUCUACGGGGGGCAGCAGGAGGGGAACUUUGGAAAUGGACGGAAGUCUGAACGAGGAAAGCCGGGUGAGUGAAGAAGGUUUUCGGAUCGUAAAGCUCUGUUGUAAGAGGAGAAAGAGUGUGAGAGUGGAAAGUUCACACUGUGACGGUAUCUUACCAGAAAGGGACGGCUAACUACGUG